GAUGAAGAACGUAGUGAAAUGCGAUAGGUAAUGUGAAUUGCAGAAUUCAGUGAAUCAUCGAAUCUUUGAACGCACAUUGCGCCCCCUGGUAUUCCGGGGGGCAUGCCUGUUCGAGCGUCAUUUCACCACUCAAGCCUCGCUUGGUAUUGGGCAACGCGGUCCGCCGCGUGCCUCAAAUCGAUCGGCUGGGUCUUCUGUCCCCUAAGCGUUGUGGAAACUAUUCGCUAAAGGGUGUUCGGGAGGCUACGCCGUAAAACAACCCCAUUUCUAAGGUUGACCUCGGAUCAGGUAGGGAUACCCGCUGAACUUAAGCAUAUCAAUAAGCGGAGGA
This 331-nucleotide unclassified non-coding RNA is filed under the name soil metagenome. RNAcentral's name for it is "partial contains 5.8S ribosomal RNA, internal transcribed spacer 2, and large subunit ribosomal RNA". The stretch from base 1 to 120 matches the Rfam family "5.8S ribosomal RNA", at positions 35 to 154 of the family's 154-position model. The record is from RNAcentral.